AAAUUGUUAUUGUUAAUAGAACCCUCGGUGAAAAAAGUAAGACCUGAAAAAAGUAGAACAAUGUAGAAAUUCAGAGCUACAAAAUAGAGAGGAAAUGUUGUAGUGAUUGGCUUAGCAACUUUACAUAGUUUUACAUAGAAUUAAACUAGCCAAUUGCAAAUGCUGGUAUGUUGUUGUCAGGCAGAAAUAGUGUCCAAUCAGAUUCAGGGUCACAUUUCACUGACAGCAUCAUGUGACUUUUAUGUGAGUGUUGUCUUAGUUGGUAGCUAUUUGAUGCAUGAAUUGAGCUUGUGUCAUUUAUCCUUUCUGAUGAGAGUUCUUCCGUAUAUUGCUAUUGUGUGAUGGUUUUGUGGAUGGCUGCCUGGAACCUGUUUCCUGGGUGAUGGAAAACUAGCAUAAUUUUUUUCUCUGAACUUUCACUUUAACCUGAAAUCCUCACUUAUGGUUGCUUUGGGAUGUGUGUUCUUGGAAAGCUACAGCAACCCACCCUGCACACCUAUGUCCACUAGUGCUAAGUUAAGCUUCAUCAGUAUGCAGUGUAUUCCUGAGUCCUGGCCAGAGGAGCAGGUGGCUGGAUACAUUAACAGGCUGGAGGUCCACCAUUGAUAGGAUCCAUAGAUACAGAUAUACAUGUACAACAGACAAAUAGCCAAGCACAAGUCACCCUCUUAAAUAAUUAGAUCAAAUUAAUUUUUUAAGUAGCUUAUUUACUUUUAAGAUUGUUUUGAUGGUAACUGUUUACAGGUUUAUGUACAUAAAAAUAUGUAUAUGCAUACAAGUAAAAUGAACUUCUUAUUCAUUAAAAUUCUACAUACAAUUUAUGAAUUAUUUAAUCAUGUCAAAUUUUAUUUUCAUGUUUAAUUUAUGAAGAUUGAAAAUCUGUGAUAAACCUAUAUCUUGUGAUAAUUUAUAUUGUGCAGUUUAUGGGGUAAAUAUACACAAACUCUUAAUUUUUUUUGGAUUUAAUUGGUUAAUAUAUACCCACUAGUUCAUUGUAGAACAAGUUUGGAGCUGCUACAUUAAAAUGAAUAUUUUAUCUAUGAAUUAUUAAAGAACUGUUUGAUGUUAGCGUUGUUGGUUCUAUAGUUAAAGUCUGUAUAAAGUGUAUUUCUAUAAAAUGAGAAUGAAUUUUACCAAUUUAUUUAGAAAAUUUAGUUUCUUGCUUUAGCAUCAUUGAACUGUGCAUUUGUACAUAUACUCUUCAAAUGAUUGGGGUAUAAUCUGUAUGAAGGUAACGGAAUUUGUUUAGAAAAGAGAUUUUUUUUGUAGAAAUUUGUAAAAAUAAAGUUUGAAAUUUU
Saccostrea cuccullata (small rock oyster) is the source of this 1298-nucleotide long non-coding RNA. RefSeq lists it as uncharacterized. The record is from RefSeq and is a predicted model, not a curated record. The transcript is spliced from 2 exons. Lineage: Eukaryota; Metazoa; Mollusca; Bivalvia; Ostreida; Ostreidae.